GAGAAUGUAGCUCAGUUGGUUAGAGUGUUGGCCUGUCACGUCAAAAGUCGCGAGUUCGAAUCUCGUCAUUCUCG
Molecule: transfer RNA, 74 nt
Filed under: Helicosporidium sp. ex Simulium jonesi
Lineage: Eukaryota; Viridiplantae; Chlorophyta; Trebouxiophyceae; Chlorellales; Chlorellaceae
Description: tRNA-Asp
Rfam family: tRNA
About the family: Transfer RNA (tRNA) molecules are approximately 80 nucleotides in length. Their secondary structure includes four short double-helical elements and three loops (D, anti-codon, and T loops).
Source: RNAcentral